GAUGGAGGCAGCGGGAGGGGAGCCGGGGGGGAGGCAGAGGGAGGUGGCUGCAGCCAUGGCCAUGGAUAUGGAUGACCUGGGCUGCCCGCGGUGCAAGACCACCAAGUACCGCAACCCCUCCUUGAAGCUAAUGGUGAACGUCUGCGGACACACGCUAUGUGAGAGCUGUGUGGAACUGCUGUUUGUGAGAGGGGCUGGGAAUUGCCAUGAGUGUGAUACCCUUCUGCGAAAAAGUAACUUCAGGGUACAGCUCUUUGAGGAUCCUGCUAUUGACAAGGAAGUGGAAAUUAGGAAGAAAGUGCUGAAAAUAUACAAUAAAAGAGAGGAUGACUUUCCCAGUCUAAGUGAAUAUAAUGAUUUCCUAGAAGAAAUAGAAGAAAUUGUAUAUAACUUGACCAACAAUGUGGAUUUGGAGAACACCAAAAGGAAAAUGGAACUGUACCAGAAGGAUAACAAAGAAGUCAUUCAGAAAAAUAAGAUAAAACUGACGCGGGAGCAGGAAGAGUUGGAAGAAGCGUUAGAGGCAGAGCGACAGGAAAGUGAGCGAAGGCGACUGCUCAUACAGAAAGAAGAACAAAUACAGCAGAUCCUGAAAAGGAAGAAUAAGCAGGCACUCUUGGAUGAUCUGGAGAAGUCCAAUCUUCCUGCUUCAUUGCUUUUAGCUCAGCAUAAGGACAGAUCUACUCAGCUAGAAAUGCAAGUGGAAAAACCCAACCAGGUCAGACCAGUCACGUUUUCCACUGGGAUCAAAAUGGGGCAGACUAUUUCACUAGCUCCUAUUCCAAAAGUAGAGGAAGUUCUGUAUACGUAUCAGCCUCUGCAAGUGGAGACGUAUGGACCGCAAGUUCCGGAGCUUGAAAUGCUGGGAAGGCUGGGGCACUCCCUAAACCUCCAUAGCUUCAAACUUCUCAUACCUCUUGCAUGGUGCCUAUAAAGACUGCCUAAAGGAACUCUUUUGUAUUGCUUUAGCAUACUGUAGAAAUCCUACAGGUUUUGUUGUAGGAUUUUGGAAGGACGCAAGUUCAAUAUAGAGGAGGUUGAUUAGCACCAAUUUUUCCAGCCAAAUGGAAAUCAAGGAAAGGAGUGCAGCUUUUAGUAUCUCGCCCACGUGCGAGCCGCUUCUCCCCAGGAUGUCGCUGGGGGCUACACUUCCUCUCUUGCUUGCAGCCGAGCCUUACAGGAUGCCUUCAGUGGUCUAUUCUGGCACCCCAAUUAGCCGGCAUGCUUCAGCCUCUGAUCAAGGGACACCAAACGGAGCAAGGAGUAAAACUGCUGCCAUGUGCACAAUGGCUACACUGCAGUCCCUAUUCUGUGUAAAACCAGCUGUGUGUAAGUGUUAGAGGAAAUAACAGCAUUUGUAAAAUGUCAAUGCAUUUUUGUAUAGAGGGAAACUUGUUAGUCAUGAAGCACAUGCAGUCAUGGAGCUGACAGAGGCUGAAGCAUUAAGCCAUGUCUAAUGGAAGAUGUGAAUAACUCAGCUGUGUAUGCUUGAGGUUUAAAGAAAUACACUUGGAAUUUUUUUUUUUAAAGCCAGACUUCAAUAAAAAAAGUUUGUGGCUUUACUCUUAUUGCAGGGUUUUAUCUGCACAGGCAUUUAAAUGCCAUUUUGAUUAUAACAUUUAGUGUCAGUAUUCAAGCCUACAUUUUCUUCCCAUAAAACUAGUUUCUCCAGUUUAGACAAGUGGGGUUUUCCUCCUGCCAGCUGGAUGAGAUGAGAAACCUUGGAGCUGUGCUGACACAACUCUUGUACAGGAUCCUUACCCAUGUCCCUUGGUUCUUACCUUUGUCUGGAAAACAGAUCUUUAGCUGGAAGUCCUUCAAGUGAGUUUCUCUACAAGAAAUCUAAGAAGCCUUGAUACAAGGCUAAGUCAUUAGCGUUGUCAAAAUUGGGGUUAUUUUUUUUUUCCCUGAUAAGCUCCAUUUGAUUGUAUGUUCAGAGAUUCUUUGAGCAGGAACCUCCCUUUGUCAUCUGGCUUUUGGGACGACCCUUGUCACUCCAUCUGCUGUUUUUACAUGUUCCUUCCCCUCUCCUUAUAGCAGAAUGUAGACUAAUUGCAGCAGAGAUGGUCUUCCUGUGGCAGGACUGGUCUUUGCCAUGGGUGUGUGUAUAAACUGCAGGAGACUGGAAACCGCUCAGGAUAGUGUGUGCCUCAAGAGUAAAUAAAGCCUGGCCCACGUUUUAUGGGUCAUCUGUUAAUAGCUGUUUAAUGCUGCUCUGAGGAGUGCAUUGAAUGAGUGAAUUUUUUCUGUGUUGUAAUAAAGAGAAGAAUAAGCUCUA
RNA transcript from Pezoporus occidentalis (night parrot), 2278 nucleotides. It is a transcript of the gene named MNAT1 component of CDK activating kinase, with no coding region annotated. The transcript is spliced from 9 exons. The record is from RefSeq and is a predicted model, not a curated record. Lineage: Eukaryota; Metazoa; Chordata; Aves; Psittaciformes; Psittacidae.